RNAcentral lists this ribosomal RNA (496 nucleotides) under uncultured bacterium. RNAcentral's name for it is "partial 16S ribosomal RNA". It matches the Rfam family "Bacterial small subunit ribosomal RNA", at positions 29 to 507 of the family's 1533-position model. The record is from RNAcentral.
AUGAACGCUGGCGGCGUGCCUAAUACAUGCAAGUCGAGCGAACGGACGAGAAGCUUGCUUCUCUGAUGUUAGCGGCGGACGGGUGAGUAACACGUGGAUAACCUACCUAUAAGACUGGGAUAACUUCGGGAAACCGGAGCUAAUACCGGAUAAUAUUUUGAACCGCAUGGUUCAAAAGUGAAAGACGGUCUUGCUGUCACUUAUAGAUGGAUCCGCGCUGCAUUAGCUAGUUGGUAAGGUAACGGCUUACCAAGGCAGCGAUGCAUAGCCGACCUGAGAGGGUGAUCGGCCACACUGGAACUGAGACACGGUCCAGACUCCUACGGGAGGCAGCAGUAGGGAAUCUUCCGCAAUGGGCGAAAGCCUGACGGAGCAACGCCGCGUGAGUGAUGAAGGUCUUCGGAUCGUAAAACUCUGUUAUUAGGGAAGAACAUAUGUGUAAGUAACUGUGCACAUCUUGACGGUACCUAAUCAGAAAGCCACGGCUAACUACGUG